CCAAAAGAAAAGGAUCAUCUCAUAAAACAAAAAGUUCAUUACAGGUACAAAAUAUGCUAAAAAGAAGGGACAUUUUGCAACACAUAUAAAGAAAUCUUUAAUAGACCUCAAUUAUUCACCCAGACAAAUACAUCACAAGCAAAUCUCAAAAAUUCCAACAUAUUAACUCACCCAAUGUCCCUUCUAAUCUUUUAUUUUUAUCACCCAGGAAAAAAAAAAAGUCAAGUUUUAAUUAUAAUAUUAGCUAUUCACUAUUGCACAGUGCUUCCUAAUCUCCCCAACAGUUCCAGUUUUAACAUUUAUUUUGAUCAUUUUCUCCAUGGAGUUGGCAAAUUCAGCAAAGAAAUCCUCAACUGAACCACUGAGAAGCUGGUUGAUGAGAGACAAAGAAACAGAGUCAGUGAUCAAGGCAGCAUCUGAUUCAAAAAGGCCUCUUCUUUUAACCAGGAGUGAGUAGUAGCUAAGAUCAAAUGUAUUUCUACUUCCAGGAUCCAUCUCAACCUUGGUGGUAUUAUCAUCAGGACUUUUGCACUUGUUUUCCUUGAGAUUUGCAACAUACUCACUGUCUAGGCUAGGAUCUGGCAGACCAGUCCCACUGAAGUUGUAUAAACGGUCAGAAAAUGAUGAACAAUGGGCAAUCCCAAUUGUGUGAGCACCAGAGAGCAAAACCAGGUCUUUCAAAUCAAGGCCUUGGUUGGCAAAUUGAGUCUGAAGAGUGGUGAAGUUUGCAAAGAAAGGUGGGAUGUUGGCCAUGGCAUCAGACAACCUUGAUGUCACACCAUCUCUUCUACCAGUUGGAACUUUCCAGAAGGGACCUCCUGUAGCCACAAUAGAGUCCCUUGAAACCAAAGCAAGAAUAUCUGCACAGGAAACUACUCCAGGACAUUCAGCCUCAAGAAGGCUUUUCACUCUGUCUAUGAAGUCAAAUCCUCUGAUUGUUAGAUUUGGAGCAGCUUCUUUUUCAGGUUUUUCGCCGGAGCUCGAUGAUGAGUUCAAAAGCACUGAUGCAUCACAACCCCUGACGAAGCAAUCAUGGAAGUUCAUUCUUAUGAAGGAUGCAGCUAAUGAUGGGGCAUUAUGGAUGUGUUUGUUGACAAAAUCAUGCACAAUCUUCUCAGCUUUUGGGCAGCUCUUAGCAUAAAAACCCAUCUGCAAUUGAGCUUCAGUUGAUGAACCCAUAAAUGCUAAAAUACCAAAUAUUAUCAUACCAAAAUAACCAAUGACUCCCAUUUUGAUAAUGAUAUUACUAUACACAGAAGCAAAAAGGGAUAGAUACUAGCUAGUCAGCUAGAGAAGAGAAUGCUGCACUAAAUUGGAAUGCGUGAAUUAUGAUAGAGAACUUAUAGACAUAGAUUUGAGCUACACGAUAAGAAAGAAGAUGCUAAAACAAGACAUCUAG
Molecule: unclassified non-coding RNA, 1399 nt
Filed under: Hevea brasiliensis (rubber tree)
Lineage: Eukaryota; Viridiplantae; Streptophyta; Magnoliopsida; Malpighiales; Euphorbiaceae
Source: RNAcentral